GCAGGUGCGAAAGCAGGUCAUAGUGAUCCGGUGGUUCUGAAUGGAAGGGCCAUCGCUCAACGGAUAAAAGGUACUCCGGGGAUAACAGGCUGAUACCGCCCAAGAGUUCAUAUCGACGGCGGUGUUUGGCACCUCGAUGUCGGCUCAUCACAUCCUGGGGCUGAAGUAGGUCCCAAGGGUAUGGCUGUUCGCCAUUUAAAGUGGUACGCGAGCUGGGUUUAGAACGUCGUGAGACAGUUCGGUCCCUAUCUGCCGUGGGCGCUGGAGAACUGAGGGGGGCUGCUCCUAGUACGAGAGGACCGGAGUGGACGCAUCACUGGUGUUCGGGUUGUCAUGCCAAUGGCACUGCCCGGUAGCUAAAUGCGGAAGAGAUAAGUGCUGAAAGCAUCUAAGCACGAAACUUGCCCCG
Molecule: ribosomal RNA, 409 nt
Filed under: Escherichia coli
Lineage: Bacteria; Pseudomonadati; Pseudomonadota; Gammaproteobacteria; Enterobacterales; Enterobacteriaceae
Also listed under: 1 other name
Description: partial 23S ribosomal RNA
Rfam family: Bacterial large subunit ribosomal RNA
Source: RNAcentral